This 418-nucleotide small RNA is filed under the name Histoplasma capsulatum. Its description in RNAcentral is "hypothetical RNA". The record is from RNAcentral. RNAcentral also lists the same sequence under 1 other name. Lineage: Eukaryota; Fungi; Ascomycota; Eurotiomycetes; Onygenales; Ajellomycetaceae.
AUACCUUCAUUUCCAUGAAGGUCACCGCUGUAGGGCAAUUGCAAAGGAGGCCUUGUUUCCCGGAUUUAGGACGAGGAUCAUGAUACACUCUUUCAUGCCCUCUGUCUUCUUCUCUUGACUUCCAAAGAAACGUACCCCUGACGAGGAAGAACGGGGUCGGAGUGUUGAGGAACAUCAAGGCGAAACUUGUCCUCAUCUAAUGCCAGUCUUUGUGUGAAGAAUGACUGUGGAGCCAUGACACAGCCACAGCAGUCCACUAGCGAGCGAAAUAUUGAGUCGAACAGCACAUUAUCAUUCAUGCUCUCUCUGGAUCAGCGAUAUGGCAAGGGGAAAGCUUGCUUCAAACCUGGUCAACAACGAGGCAAUCAUCAACCUGAUAAGUCACUAGUUAACUAACCUUGAGUUAGUUACACCAAGG